GACGAACGCUGGCGGCGUGCUUAACACAUGCAAGUCGAACGGUAAGGCCCUUCGGGGUACACGAGUGGCGAACGGGUGAGUAACACGUGGGUGACCUGCCCUGCACUUCGGGAUAAGCCUGGGAAACUGGGUCUAAUACCGGAUAGGACCACUGCCUGCAUGGGAGGUGGUGGAAAGCUUUUGCGGUGUGGGAUGGGCCCGCGGCCUAUCAGCUUGUUGGUGGGGUGAUGGGCUACCAAGGCGACGACGGGUAGCCGGCCUGAGAGGGUGACCGGCCACACUGGGACUGAGAUACGGCCCAGACUCCUACGGGAGGCAGCAGUGGGGAAUAUUGCACAAUGGGCGCAAGCCUGAUGCAGCGACGCCGCGUGGGGGAUGACGGCCUUCGGGUUGUAAACCUCUUUCAGCACCGACGAAGCGCAAGUGGCGGUAGGUGCAGAAGAAGGACCGGCCAACUACGUGCCAGCAGCCGCGGUAA
Molecule: ribosomal RNA, 478 nt
Filed under: uncultured bacterium
Lineage: Bacteria
Description: partial 16S ribosomal RNA
Rfam family: Bacterial small subunit ribosomal RNA
Source: RNAcentral